CUUCCCUCAGUAAGGAGAGACCGUCACAUCUAAAGGACAGCUGCUGGUGGCACCAGUACAGCUCAAGGCCUGCCCCAGGUGGACUCGCAGAACUCAAUAUCGCAUUGUGCCUAGACAAAUGAAGGGGCAAAAUGAGGAUCUUCAGCUUCCUCCAGCACCAAAAUACUUUGUGUUCUUGGAGAGCUCCACCAGCAGUCAGCAGCUCUGUGAAGCUGAGGGAAAUCCUCCCAGGGCUGAAUUCUUUACAAGCAAAACCUUAGGAGUCGGACCUGGCCUACUCUGUACUCCCCAGGAUGGCCCUGCACUGCACCAACAGGCACCUUCUCCAACAGGAGAGUUCAGCCUGCCUUGCCUGAGGGACACUGCAGGCCACAGACCUGCACUGACCAGUCUCUCCUCUCUCUCCAUUAUUAAGUUAGGCUGCAAACCAGGGAAAAGGGAGAUUGCAUGAGUUUUGCACAGUGAUACUUCAGUACUAGUCACACUUCAAACGCGUCACCUUCAAGGGAUGACUCCAACAAGUAAACUGAGCCUACAAAAACCUUGGUCAUGUCAAGAGAUUUCAGAUGCUGAGUGAUGAAGAGUAAGACCAUGUCGCACUUUUUGUGGGGCUGCCAACUGCAAGGGGACAGUCAGCAAGGUUACACUCAGCACAUCCAACACCCCAUUUUCCUGACAGACUACUCUGUGACA
Long non-coding RNA from Hirundo rustica (Barn swallow), 693 nucleotides. RefSeq lists it as uncharacterized. The record is from RefSeq and is a predicted model, not a curated record. NCBI's taxonomy places the organism in Eukaryota, Metazoa, Chordata, Aves, Passeriformes, Hirundinidae. The transcript is spliced from 3 exons.